GCAAACUCCUCAUUCUGUUCUCCGUCUGAGAUACGGCUGCACUACGAGACCCAGUUAAGAAAGAACUCGCGGUGACACUGAAAGUUGCAGCAGCCGGUGGGGGAAAGAGCUCCCUUUGCUCAGCAACUCCCGGCAUUCCCACGAGGUGUCACUGUAAGAGAGUGACUUGAAUGCAGAAGAUGGAAGAGGUGGGCCACCAAACUGAAGUCAGCAAAGCUGAGGGAUGUGUCUUCGGGAGCCUCCACCGAGAAGAUUUCCUAGCAAGCAUGUGGUCGGUUCCUGCCCUGCUUUGGUUCGCAGUGGGCAUUUCAUGCGACAUUUCUCCAACCAUCACCCAGUGGCCGCAGUCAGCAGUAGGGCGGCUGGGUGGCAGCGUGUCUCUGAACUGCAGUUUGGAAGGACACAGCAGCCCCAAUUUCUACUGGUACUGGCAAAUUCCUGGAGGACAGAUUGAGCUGCUUUUCUUCUCCAUAAGCAAGGGAAGCGUCGAGAGGACAGGUCCAACGCACAUCAGCGCCUCAAGACCGGAGGACGGCCAGUUCCUCCUGAGCAUCGCCAGCCUCAAAGCCAAUGACACGGGGACGUUUCUCUGUGCCUGGAGUCGCACACUGGAGCAGGUGGGCACAGCGCCUUGA
Non-coding RNA from Eublepharis macularius, 635 nucleotides. NCBI's taxonomy places the organism in Eukaryota, Metazoa, Chordata, Lepidosauria, Squamata, Eublepharidae. The record is from the annotation of a RefSeq genome assembly.